This 1820-nucleotide long non-coding RNA is filed under the name Gallus gallus (chicken). Lineage: Eukaryota; Metazoa; Chordata; Aves; Galliformes; Phasianidae. The record is from RNAcentral.
GGGGUCUGUGGGAGAGGUGGGGAGAGGUGAUGGGAGUGGGGCGGGGGAUCCGCAGGAGCUCUUGGAGUCCAAAUCUGGGCCCAUUUGGCCACGUGGAAACCUCAACCAUGGGGCUCAGUGCGGGGAGCGAGGAGGGCUGAUGUGGGGCUGUGCCAUAGGCCAUUCCAUGGGGCUGUGCCAUAGGGCCAUUCUAUGGGGCUGUGCCAUAGGUCGUGCUAUGGGGCCGUGCCACGUGCCCAUUGACGUGCUGUGGGGUGUCGGGUUCAUCCCAACCCGUGGGGCACGCGGCCGGGCGAUAAUUAUAGGGUCGGGGGGUGGCAGCGUGACCGCCGUGCUGGCGGUGUCCCCAUAGCAGGGCAGUGUGGGACAAUCCCUUCCCAUCCCCCUCCCAGGGGUCCAUGGGGGGCAGAGGGCCGACCCCAUUUGCUCCCAUCGCUUUGGGGCUGAAACCCGGGGGUCGCCGACCCGGGGGCUCUGUCUGCUCCCCCAUGGGGGGCACUGUGUGUGUGUGUGUGUGUGGGGGGGGGGGGUUGUGGGGAUCCCACAGUGACAGCUGAUCCCAAAGGCACAAAGUUCACCGGGUGCUGAGGCUGCGCUGGCGCUGUGGGUUUGGGUUUCAGGAGCCCCAUGGGAUCACGGCCAGCAAACCCCCCCUGCAUGGGGAGCUCCCAUCUGCUGUACUCGAGGUUAGGGGCACUGUAGGGGCUCCUGAGCGCUAUAUAGGGGAUCCUAAAUGCUAUAGGGGAUCCUGAGUGCUGUAGGGAUCCCGAAAUGCUUUAGGGACUCUUAAAUGCUAUGCAGGGACUCCUGAGUCCUGUAGGGAUUCCUAAAUGCUAUAUAGGUGCUCUUGAGUACUAUAGGGACUCCUGAGUGCUAUACAGAGUCUCCUAAAUGCUAUAGGGGCUUCUAAGUGCUCUAUAGGGACUCCUGAGUCCUAUAUAGGGCUUCCUAAAUGCUAUAGGGAACUCCUGAACUCCACAUAGGGACUCCUGAGUGCAAUGGGGAUUCCUAAAUGCUCUAUAGGGACUCCUGAGCUUUACACAGGGACUCUUAAAAUGCUAUAGGGGCUCCUAAAUGCCGUGUAGGGACUCCUGAAUGCUGUAUAGGGGUUUCUGGGUGCCGCAGGGCCUCUCCCACACAGGGAAACCCAUAGAGAGCUCUCCCAUCCCAAAUCCCAUUGGGUUUUCCCAUCCGAGUGGGACAGAAUCCCAAUGGCCGCGUUGUCCGAAUGGAGCCCCAUUCCCCCCCGGCCCCAAAAGAGGCCGAGGAUGCGGUGUGGGGUUACGGGGCCGCAGGUGCCCCCCACCCCAUUACAACGUCGGCUCAUGGCAAGAAAGGAAAGGAGAGAUUUGAACUGGUUUUACUCAAUGGGAACGGUGGCGUCCCAAACGUGGCCUCUGCCCCUUCCAUCCGGAAAGGGUUCCCAACUUCCGUCUGAAAGCGGUGGAAUAUAAAAAAAAAGGAAAUAUCAUAAAGUGGCAAAUCCUGCCUGGCUGCAAAUAAAUUAUCUUCGGUUCUCGAUUAUAUACAAAAGACGUUUCCCAAAUCAGCCCUCGUCCCGACGUCGGCGUUAAGUAGUAUUUACAUCGCUCUGUACAUGGGGUCCCUCAGCUCUUCUGGGGCCCUGGGGGGCGGUUCAGCAGUCUGUUCCUGAUGUCCUCCAGGACUUCGUUGUAGAGCUCCUCUCGGCUCUUCAGCCCAUCUAAAUAGACGACAUCGACCCCGCUGUCCUCCAUCUCCUUCCGGUGCUUCAGGUACAUGGGCCACACGUGGCCAUCGAAGAGGCCGGGGGGGUCGGGGACGGUGUAGCUGCGUGUACU